UAGCACUUAUCCGUGGAACUGCGAAUGGCUCAUUAAAUCAGUUAUCGUUUAUUUGAUAGUACCUUACUACUUGUGAUAACCGCUGGUAAUUCUANAGCUAAUACAUGCUAAAAACCCCNACUUCNGGAGGGGUGUAUUUAUUAGAUAAAAAACCAAUGCCCUUCGGGGCUCUUUGGUGAGUCAUAAUAACUUAACGGAUCGCAUGGCCUUGCGCCGGCGACGGUUCAUUCAAAUUUCUGCCCUAUCAACUUUCGAUUGUAGGGUAGUGGCCUACAAUGGUUUCAACGNGUGACGGGGGAUUAGGGUUCGAUUCCGGAGAGGGAGCCUGAGAAACGGCUACCACAUCCAAGGAAGGCAGCAGGCGCGCAAAUUACCCAAUCCCGACACGGGGAGGUAGUGACAAUAAAUACUGAUACAGGGCUCUUUUGGGUCUUGUAAUUGGAAUGAGUACAAUUUAAAUCCCUUAACGAGGAACAAUUGGAGGGCAAGUCUGGUGCCAGCAGCCGCGGUAAUUCCAGCUCCAAUAGCGUAUAUUAAAGUUGUUGCAGUUAAAAAGCUCGUAGUUGAACCUUGGGCCUGGCUGGCCGGUCCGCCUCACCGCGUGCACUGGUCCGGCCGGGCCUUUCCUUCUGGAGAACCGCAUGCCCUUUACUGGGUGUGUCGGGGAACCAGGACUUUUACUUUGAAAAAAUUAGAGUGUUCAAAGCAGGCCUUUGCUCGAAUACGUUAGCAUGGAAUAAUAGAAUAGGACGUGCGGUCCUAUUUUGUUGGUUUCUAGGACCGCCGUAAUGAUUAAUAGGGAUAGUCGGGGGCAUCA
This 817-nucleotide ribosomal RNA is filed under the name Psiloglonium clavisporum. RNAcentral's name for it is "SSU rRNA". It matches the Rfam family "Eukaryotic small subunit ribosomal RNA", at positions 67 to 893 of the family's 1831-position model. Lineage: Eukaryota; Fungi; Ascomycota; Dothideomycetes; Hysteriales; Hysteriaceae. The record is from RNAcentral.